UAUAAAUCCUAAUGUUCCAACCAACUUACUGAAGCAAAAACUUUGGGUUCUUGAUGUACUUAUUAGUGGAGCUUAAAAGAAACGGUAGUCAGUGAUCCCAGAAGUUUGCAGAAUUGAUGCUUCCAAGUGACUGCCUUUCUAAAUCUGUUUGCUGCUUGAUAAGAGUCUCAUUCACCAGCCUAGAAGCCUAAAAUGUUGAGCUACAGGCAGAAUCAGCACCCGCUUGCUAUCAGCAGUUUGAAGUGGAAAUGCGGAAAACAAAACUUCAGACUGGAAAAAUAAGGAACUGAGAAAAAUGAAAAUCGACAGAUUUGUCCAUCACUAUGGAACAGUAGUGCUGGCUGCAAGGCCAAGUGUCUUCUCCAGUUUAAAUUAGGGUUUUGCAAAUAUAUCCCACCCUUGUGGGUUGAUUCAGGGUUGCAUACAGAACCACAGAUUGUGUGCUGAACUUCCACAUUCCCGCUUAUGCAGGGCUGUCAGGUAUUCGUUAUUUUAAAGGUCGCCCCCCUUUACAGAGUGUAACAGAUGUUAUUUAAUUUUCAACAUGCCUUACCCUAUAAAAUUCAACAGAAAAGGCAUUGCAGCUUUUACCUUUAAGGAAAAUUAAUCUGUUUGC
Molecule: long non-coding RNA, 616 nt
Filed under: Podarcis muralis (Common wall lizard)
Lineage: Eukaryota; Metazoa; Chordata; Lepidosauria; Squamata; Lacertidae
Description: lncRNA (ENSPMRG00000001938.1)
Source: RNAcentral